AAAUUUUGAUUUUGGAUUAAUAAUAGUUAAGAUAAUAUUAUCUAAUUUUGAUUUAUUUAGUAGUUAAUGGAAUUUUAACUCGGUAGUUUUUUAUCUGUAAAAUAUUUGUUCCAGAAUAAUCGGCUAGACUUAUAAGAUUUUUACUUUAUUUUGUUUUUAUUAAAUUUUUAAUUUAUAUAUUUUUAUUUUUAGGUGGAAUUUGAAUUUUUAUUUUAUAUUAUAUUUAAUAAUAAGUUUUUUAAUUGAAUUAGAUUAGUACCUAAUUAGUUUUAAUUUAUUAUAUCAGAAGUAAAGUUAUAUUUAAACUGAAAAAAUAUUGGCAGAUUUAUUAAAUAAUCUUUGGAGGUUGAGUUUUAAUUGAGAACCCUCAUUGUUUACUAGUCUUAUUGGCUCAUGUAUGAUCGUUUAUUUUAUAUUUUAGGUAUAAAAUUUAAAUUUCUUUUGUUAAAAUAGAUAUAUAUAUGGUUUAUGUAUUAGUUUAUUUUGACCUACAUUUAUGUUUUUAUUGGAUAAAAACUUGAAAUUGUUUUUUGAAAUUGUAAAAGACAGUAAAUUAAUUUUUAUAUUUAAUUGAAGAUUUAUUUAAAAAUGGUUCAAAUCAUCCAUCAAUUGCCUAACAGGGAGUAAGUUGUAGUAAAGUAGGUUUAGGGGAAUCUGAACCUAGUG
This 666-nucleotide non-coding RNA is filed under the name Allodiplogaster sp. MY-2022. Lineage: Eukaryota; Metazoa; Nematoda; Chromadorea; Rhabditida; Diplogasteridae. The record is from RNAcentral.